Molecule: ribosomal RNA, 468 nt
Filed under: uncultured bacterium
Lineage: Bacteria
Description: partial 16S ribosomal RNA
Rfam family: Bacterial small subunit ribosomal RNA
Source: RNAcentral
GAUGAACGCUGGCGGCGUGCUUAACACAUGCAAGUCGAACGGAAAGGCCCAAGCUUGCUUGGGUACUCGAGUGGCGAACGGGUGAGUAACACGUGGGUGAUCUGCCCUGCACUUCGGGAUAAGCCUGGGAAACUGGGUCUAAUACCGGAUAGGACGAUGGUUUGGAUGCCAUUGUGGAAAGUUUUUUCGGUGUGGGAUGAGCUCGCGGCCUAUCAGCUUGUUGGUGGGGUAAUGGCCUACCAAGGCGUCGACGGGUAGCCGGCCUGAGAGGGUGUACGGCCACAUUGGGACUGAGAUACGGCCCAGACUCCUACGGGAGGCAGCAGUGGGGAAUAUUGCACAAUGGGCGCAAGCCUGAUGCAGCGACGCCGCGUGGGGGAUGACGGCCUUCGGGUUGUAAACUCCUUUCGCUAGGGACGAAGCGUUUUUGUGGCGGUACCUGGAGAAGAAGCACCGGCUAACUACGUA